GGUCCGGUUAGUGUGUCAGUAUGGCCAGCCUGGAAUUGUUUGGCUCUCGCUCGGCAUCUGGCUGACUUGUUUAAUUAUUUUGGGUUUUUUUUUUUUCCAGAUGCAGAGAGAGAGGAAGCGCACCAAAGAGCAGCACAGGAGGGGAGCAGAGCGCCGUAAGGAGGUGGGUCGGUCAUUUGAGGUGCUGCAAGUGAGGACAGCUGCAGGGUCCAUCCCUGGACCGAGCAGCUGAUGAAGAGGCACCGGGCAAUUGCAGGAACAUCCCAGUUAGCCAAUGCGCAGUGGUGAUGUUUUUGUUGCUGAUGGAUUCGGAUCCCCG
Molecule: long non-coding RNA, 319 nt
Organism: Grus americana (Whooping crane)
Lineage: Eukaryota; Metazoa; Chordata; Aves; Gruiformes; Gruidae
Exons: 3
Source: RefSeq, a predicted model, not a curated record